RNAcentral lists this long non-coding RNA (886 nucleotides) under Pan troglodytes (chimpanzee). RNAcentral describes it as "long non-coding RNA NONPTRT015217". The record is from RNAcentral. Lineage: Eukaryota; Metazoa; Chordata; Mammalia; Primates; Hominidae.
CGUAUAAUAGAAAGGUCUCUCCACAAAACCCGGGGAAGAUAGAUUAAAGGUGCGUAGGAGGAUCUAGAGACAAAGAGAACAUUCAGGGUUACUGAAUGUACAGAAAAGGAUGAUGGUUCUUGAACAAGUGAGUAAGGAUUUGGGAGAUAUUUAGGAAGCAGAUUCACAAUACUGAGCUUUCAUUAGAGAGAGGGUAGAGGCAAUGGAAGAAUGUAAUAUGACUCACAGCAAUCUAGUCUGGUUGUGCCAGUCAUGGACAACAGCAGUAUAGGUGCAGUGGCUUUGGGGGAAAGAAUGAAUUAUAGUUUAGAGAUGCUUGGAAGUCACUAAUGUGUAAACGUAUAAAAGACAAGUGUAUAUAUAGGUCUGGAACUAAAAAUAAGUCUUGGCUGGAGAUAAAUAAUUGAGGAUUAUUUGCAUUUUCAUGGAGAGCAGACCAUGAAACAUUUACCAGUCCACACUGCAUGUGAUCCAAUCUUGGCCAUGGACCCUGGGCACAGUCUGCAUGGUUUCUCCUGGAGGGGGGCGGGUGUCCCCUUUGAUAAGAGAUACAAGAAGAGAUCCCACUACCAGUCUUUCUGCCUUUGGACUACAUUGAAUGAGGAAGUGAUGCCUUGGGAUGAAAGCUAACAUGGCAUCCAGAGCUGCUUCUCUGACCCUCUGGUUCUUGGCCCAGCUGAUAAGGAUCCAGUCCAUGAAUAAGUAAAUGGCUUCCUUCCAGUGGAGAGCUGACAGCUGGGAUUGAAACAAGGUCUGCUUCCUCAACCAGGGUGAUGCAUUGAAUUGUGACACAUGGGGGUCAGUGAAAUUAACUAUCUUUCCCAUGAGAAAUAAUUUAUCAUUCAGCAUUUGCUAUUAAUGUGCCUCUGCUGCAAGUGAAUGAAGA